CCUACGGGAGGCAGCAGUGAGGAAUAUUGGUCAAUGGACGAGAGUCUGAACCAGCCAAGUAGCGUGAAGGAUGACUGCCCUAUGGGUUGUAAACUUCUUUUAUAUGGGAAUAAAAUGUUCCACGUGUGGGAUUUUGUAUGUACCAUAUGAAUAAGGAUCGGCUAACUCCGUGCCAGCAGCCGCGGUAAUACGGAGGAUCCGAGCGUUAUCCGGAUUUAUUGGGUUUAAAGGGAGCGUAGGUGGAUUGUUAAGUCAGUUGUGAAAGUUUGCGGCUCAACCGUAAAAUUGCAGUUGAAACUGGCAGUCUUGAGUACAGUAGAGGUGGGCGGAAUUCGUGGUGUAGCGGUGAAAUGCUUAGAUAUCACGAAGAACUCCGAUUGCGAAGGCAGUUCACUGGACUGCAACUGACACUGAGGCUCGAAAGUGUGGGUAUCAAACAGGAUUAUAUACCCGAGUAGUC
This 460-nucleotide ribosomal RNA is filed under the name uncultured bacterium. RNAcentral describes it as "partial 16S ribosomal RNA". It matches the Rfam family "Bacterial small subunit ribosomal RNA", at positions 338 to 795 of the family's 1533-position model. The record is from RNAcentral.